UUAAGCGACUAAGCGUACACGGUGGAUGCCCUGGCAGUCAGAGGCGAUGAAGGACGUGCUAAUCUGCGAUAAGCGUCGGUAAGGUGAUAUGAACCGUUAUAACCGGCGAUUUCCGAAUGGGGAAACCCAGUGUGAUUCGUCACACUAUCAUUAACUGAAUCCAUAGGUUAAUGAGGCGAACCGGGGGAACUGAAACAUCUAAGUACCCCGAGGAAAAGAAAUCAACCGAGAUUCCCCCAGUAGCGGCGAGCGAACGGGGAGCAGCCCAGAGCCUGAAUCAGCAUGUGUGUUAGUGGAAGCGUCUGGAAAGGCGCGCGAUACAGGGUGACAGCCCCGUACACAAAAAUGCACAUACUGUGAGCUCGAUGAGUAGGGCGGGACACGUGGUAUCCUGUCUGAAUAUGGGGGGACCAUCCUCCAAGGCUAAAUACUCCUGACUGACCGAUAGUGAACCAGUACCGUGAGGGAAAGGCGAAAAGAACCCCGGCGAGGGGAGUGAAAAAGAACCUGAAACCGUGUACGUACAAGCAGUGGGAGCACAGAGCAAUCUGUGUGACUGCGUACCUUUUGUAUAAUGGGUCAGCGACUUAUAUUCUGUAGCAAGGUUAACCGAAUAGGGGAGCCGAAGGGAAACCGAGUCUUAACUGGGCGUUAAGUUGCAGGGUAUAGACCCGAAACCCGGUGAUCUAGCCAUGGGCAGGUUGAAGGUUGGGUAACACUAACUGGAGGACCGAACCGACUAAUGUUGAAAAAUUAGCGGAUGACUUGUGGCUGGGGGUGAAAGGCCAAUCAAACCGGGAGAUAGCUGGUUCUCCCCGAAAGCUAUUUAGGUAGCGCCUCGUGAAUUCAUCUCCGGGGGUAGAGCACUGUUUCGGCAAGGGGGUCAUCCCGACUUACCAACCCGAUGCAAACUGCGAAUACCGGAGAAUGUUAUCACGGGAGACACACGGCGGGUGCUAACGUCCGUCGUGAAGAGGGAAACAACCCAGACCGCCAGCUAAGGUCCCAAAGUCAUGGUUAAGUGGGAAACGAUGUGGGAAGGCCCAGACAGCCAGGAUGUUGGCUUAGAAGCAGCCAUCAUUUAAAGAAAGCGUAAUAGCUCACUGGUCGAGUCGGCCUGCGCGGAAGAUGUAACGGGGCUAAACCAUGCACCGAAGCUGCGGCAGCGACGCUGAUGCGUUGUUGGGUAGGGGAGCGUUCUGUAAGCCUGCGAAGGUGUGCUGUGAGGCAUGCUGGAGGUAUCAGAAGUGCGAAUGCUGACAUAAGUAACGAUAAAGCGGGUGAAAAGCCCGCUCGCCGGAAGACCAAGGGUUCCUGUCCAACGUUAAUCGGGGCAGGGUGAGUCGACCCCUAAGGCGAGGCCGAAAGGCGUAGUCGAUGGGAAACAGGUUAAUAUUCCUGUACUUGGUGUUACUGCGAAGGGGGGACGGAGAAGGCUAUGUUGGCCGGGCGACGGUUGUCCCGGUUUAAGCGUGUAGGCUGGUUUUCCAGGCAAAUCCGGAAAAUCAAGGCUGAGGCGUGAUGACGAGGCACUACGGUGCUGAAGCAACAAAUGCCCUGCUUCCAGGAAAAGCCUCUAAGCAUCAGGUAACAUCAAAUCGUACCCCAAACCGACACAGGUGGUCAGGUAGAGAAUACCAAGGCGCUUGAGAGAACUCGGGUGAAGGAACUAGGCAAAAUGGUGCCGUAACUUCGGGAGAAGGCACGCUGAUAUGUAGGUGAAGCGACUUGCUCGUGGAGCUGAAAUCAGUCGAAGAUACCAGCUGGCUGCAACUGUUUAUUAAAAACACAGCACUGUGCAAACACGAAAGUGGACGUAUACGGUGUGACGCCUGCCCGGUGCCGGAAGGUUAAUUGAUGGGGUCAGCGCAAGCGAAGCUCUUGAUCGAAGCCCCGGUAAACGGCGGCCGUAACUAUAACGGUCCUAAGGUAGCGAAAUUCCUUGUCGGGUAAGUUCCGACCUGCACGAAAGGCGCAACGACUUGGGCGCUGUCUCGACCAUGGACCCGGUGAAAUUGCACUGGUCGUGAAGAUGCGACUUACCCGCGGAAGGACGGAAAGACCCCGUGAACCUUCACUGCAGCUUGGCAUUGGCCGCUGGUCCCGCGUGUAGAGGAUAGGCAGGAGGCUAAGAUCCGGAGGCGCCAGCCCCCGGGGAGCCGCCCUUGGAAUACUGCCCUCGCGCGACCGGCGUCCUAACCCGAGGCCGUCAACCGGCUCGGGGACCGUGCCAGGCGGGCAGUUUGACUGGGGCGGUCGCCUCCUAAAGGGUAACGGAGGCGCGCGAAGGUCCGCUCGGGACGGUCGGCAACCGUCCUUUUGAAUGCAAGAGUACAAGCGGGCUUGACUGCGAGGCCCACAAGCCGAGCAGGUGCGAAAGCAGGCUCUAGUGAUCCGGCGGCCCCGAGUGGGUGGGCCGUCGCUCAACGGAUAAAAGGUACUCCGGGGAUAACAGGCUGAUCUUGCCCAAGAGUCCACAUCGACGGCAAGGUUUGGCACCUCGAUGUCGGCUCAUCGCAUCCUGGGGCUGAAGUAGGUCCCAAG
This 2544-nucleotide ribosomal RNA is filed under the name human gut metagenome. RNAcentral's name for it is "bacterial LSU rRNA". It matches the Rfam family "Bacterial large subunit ribosomal RNA", at positions 1 to 2569 of the family's 2925-position model. The record is from RNAcentral.